Prionailurus viverrinus (fishing cat) is the source of this 660-nucleotide long non-coding RNA. RefSeq lists it as uncharacterized. The transcript has 4 exons. NCBI's taxonomy places the organism in Eukaryota, Metazoa, Chordata, Mammalia, Carnivora, Felidae. The record is from RefSeq and is a predicted model, not a curated record.
CCCUCCUUGAGUCACGGAACCUCACCCGGAACCUUAGUACCCAAUAAAGCCCUAAACUGCAAAAAUUCUUUUUGACUCUAACUCCUGUCUUUACCCCACACAACGCCUGACACUAACAUUUGGUGCCGAAACCCGGGAGGAGGUGGUAGCUCGCCUCCCUUGGCUGAACUCCCCCCUCCUCACCAAGCCAGAUGCCAACCACCCUACUCUCAAGAGCCUACAGGAGCCGCCCCUGAUAUUCGAAGAAAACUAACAAGGACCGAAGACGGACUUCAAACCCCUAUGGCCGACCUGGUAAAGAUGGCUUUUAAAGUUUUUAAUGGCCGAGAGGAAGCUCAAGAACAACAGCGACAGGCCCGUCUCCAACAAAAGGGACGACAGACUCGCAAUGCCUCCACGUGACGAGGCUUCACCCGGAUUGGACUCUGCCUUCCAACUGCUGGAGAUGGAGGAUGACAACUGACGAGGCCCAGACUCAGUAACUCCGGUGACCCACGCUGAGCCCAGGGUAAAACUCCAGGUAGCGGGGUGGAUAGAAGCCUUCCCCACCUCAUCUGAAGGGGCCUCCACAGUGGCUGAGAUUCUACUCAAGGACAUCAUUCCCUGCUUUGGUCUACCGAGAAGGAUACAGUCUGACAACGGGCCCGCUUUCAUCUCAGC